CUCAUAGCUAAGUUAGUAAAGAAUCUGCCUGCAAUGCAGGAGACGCAGGUUUGAUCCCUGGUUGAG
Molecule: transfer RNA, 66 nt
Filed under: Capra hircus (goat)
Lineage: Eukaryota; Metazoa; Chordata; Mammalia; Artiodactyla; Bovidae
Also listed under: 1 other name
Rfam family: tRNA
About the family: Transfer RNA (tRNA) molecules are approximately 80 nucleotides in length.
Source: Rfam by way of RNAcentral